AUUGAACGCUAGCGGCAGGCCUAAUACAUGCAAGUCGAACGGUGUCUUCGGACAUAGUGGCGCACGGGUGCGUAACACGUAUGCAACCUACCUUACAUUGGGGGAUAGCCUUUCGAAAGGGAGAUUAAUACCGCAUAAGACAGUAGCUGGGCAUCCAGCAGCUGUUAAAGAUUUAUCGAUGUAAGCUGGGCAUGCGUCCAAUUAGCUAGUUGGUGAGGUAACGGCUCACCAAGGCAAUGAUUGGUAGGGGAACUGAGAGGUCAAUCCCCCACACUGGCACUGAGAUACGGGCCAGACUCCUACGGGAGGCAGUAGUAGGGAAUAUUGGGCAAUGGACGCAAGUCUGACCCAGCCAUGCCGCGUGCAGGAUGAAGGCGUUAUGCGUUGUAAACUGCUUUUAUACAGGAAGAAACGACUCUUGCGAGAGGCAUUGACGGUACUGUAUGAAUAAGCACCGGCUAACUCCGUGCCAGCCGCCGCAGUAA
RNAcentral lists this ribosomal RNA (485 nucleotides) under uncultured bacterium. RNAcentral's name for it is "partial 16S ribosomal RNA". It matches the Rfam family "Bacterial small subunit ribosomal RNA", at positions 30 to 523 of the family's 1533-position model. The record is from RNAcentral.